UCGGGAUAAAAUAGUGAGAAGCCGACAUGGGGAAGUGAUCGACCCUUGGGAUAAUUAAUUUUUUUUUUUUUACUCCAUAAACUUUUUACCGUGGGUAAAAAGAUUCUUCUUGGGGUAUAAAAAAUCAAAUUUAAAUUUUGCCCAAGGGUUGAUGAUGUAUUUUUCCCAUGAAGGCUGCUCACUAUUUUACCCCGU
This 195-nucleotide microRNA precursor is filed under the name Medicago truncatula (barrel medic). RNAcentral describes it as "MIR2670 microRNA precursor family". It matches the Rfam family "MIR2670 microRNA precursor family". The record is from Rfam by way of RNAcentral. Lineage: Eukaryota; Viridiplantae; Streptophyta; Magnoliopsida; Fabales; Fabaceae.